UACGUAGGGGGCAAGCGUUGUCCGGAUUCAUUGGGCGUAAAGCGUGCGCAGGCGGUCUUGCAAGACAGAUGUGAAAUCCCCGGGCUUAACCUGGGAACUGCAUUUGUGACUGCAAGGCUAGAGUGCGGCAGAGGGGGAUGGAAUUCCGCGUGUAGCAGUGAAAUGCGUAGAUAUGCGGAGGAACACCGAUGGCGAAGGCAAUCCCCUGGGCCUGCACUGACGCUCAGGCACGAAAGCGUGGGGAGCAAACAGG
Molecule: ribosomal RNA, 253 nt
Filed under: uncultured bacterium
Lineage: Bacteria
Description: partial 16S ribosomal RNA
Rfam family: Bacterial small subunit ribosomal RNA
Source: RNAcentral